CGCCAGGCCCGACGGCAGCCGCCUGAGCCGGCCGGAAAGCGCGAAAACGCGGGCUCUCGCAGCGCCCCCGGCCCAUCCACCCCCUCGUCCCCCGCGGGCCCGGACGCCUCAGCUUCACCGCCCUCCCCCGCGCCGCCGCCCAAGCCCCCGCUGACUCUGACUUGGCUUCUCAGUUCGCCGGUUGGGGCAGCGACCAACGGCCUUCCCACCGCGCCUGCUCAGCGCGCCGGAAGCGCUCCCCCGCUAGGGAAGGCGGCGUAGGUGCGCGAGGGUUGUUCCCAUUUUGUGGACUCCCAGUUCUGUGACCCUGUGCCCAUACAGCAAUCCCCCGGACUGCAGGCAUCCUGUAAGUUGAAACUGAGGCUCCGAGAGGAUAAGUGACUUACCCAAGGUCACAAGCGUGAGAUGAUAACUGAACCACAUCUCCUGACUCCAGAGUCCAGCUGUUUCCCACCUUCCUGUACUGCCUGCUAGACUCUACAUUUCAGCAUCAGGCCAGGCUCGUUCCUGCAGCUGCCACUUCACAAGACUAUGGAGUCUGUUGGGAAUUCCCAACUCCCUGCUCAGGGCCUGCCUGCUUGUCACCGCUUCCUGCCUUGCCCUGCUGGCCACCUGCCCACCCACCAUUGUCUGCCGGCCCACCUGGUCCACGAAGCUGAUGGCAUCCCGGAUGUUGAGUCUGUAGUACACAUCCCAAAUCUGGUCCCGGAUGCGGUAGGCUGACCGCCGCAUCAACAGCUGACUCAGGUACUUCUUAUCAAACUGCUCCCACCUACAGAGGAUGCCAGGCCCGGUCCUGAGUGCCAUCCCCAAGGCCUGGGCGGCUGGCCCUUCCUCAGACAGGGCAGGGGCACCGCCAGCGCUGGGCCUAUGUCUCUUGGUGUGGGCAUCAGUCAGGGAGAAUCUUGAAGCUGGUCCCUGCCCUUAUGGAACUGACAGUGUUGUAGGAAAGCCUGACAUUAAUGAAGUUAUUACAUAUAACUGUAAAAUUACAACCAUGGUAAGAACUAUAAAGGAUAAUUAUAGAGUAUGAUAGGGAUUUGUCCUAGUCAGGGAGGCCAGGGAAACCUCCCUAAGGACUUGAUGCCUGUGGUAAGAUCUGAAGGAUGAAUAGAGGUUAAGUAGGUGAGAGGGAGGCAAAGGAAUGUUCUAGUAGAAAGAACAACAUGUGCACAGGUCCCAGUGGCCAGGGCCGGGGGAGCAUGGUGGGUUCUGAGUUUCUAAAACAGGGUUCAUUUCAUUGGCAGACAGAUAGUCAAAGACACAGCUGAGCACAAUGCGGCUGGUGUCUGGAGGUGCCAGACCAUGCAGGGCAGAGCUGCGCAGGCCUCACUGGGGAGCCUUGUCUUAUCCUGAGAGUACUGGGACACCAGUACUGCCAGUACUGCCCGAAGGGCUUCAGGAAGAAGUUGCCCAGCCUGAGCCUGACUGUGUCCCUCCUCAGAAGUGUGCACAUCCCCCAUGCUGCCCUGGCUGGUGAGGCUGCCGCUGCUGAAGGAGCCUCGGAGCAGCUCCCUCACCUGUCCCU
Delphinapterus leucas (beluga whale) is the source of this 1528-nucleotide non-coding RNA. NCBI's taxonomy places the organism in Eukaryota, Metazoa, Chordata, Mammalia, Artiodactyla, Monodontidae. The record is from RefSeq and is a predicted model, not a curated record.